Molecule: non-coding RNA, 2391 nt
Organism: Chlorocebus sabaeus (green monkey)
Lineage: Eukaryota; Metazoa; Chordata; Mammalia; Primates; Cercopithecidae
Source: RefSeq, a predicted model, not a curated record
GGGGUUUCACCGUAUUAGCCAGGAUGGUCUCGAUCUCCUGACCUUGUGAUCCGCCCGCCUCGGCCUCCCAAAUUCCUGGGAUUACAGGCUUGAGCCACCACGCCCGGCCAGUGGAUCAUCUUAUGAUUCCCCGAAAGGAUUUACAGAAAACUCCCCUGGACAAUGUGAAGCUAUCCUGGUUCACAGAUGGUUCAUACUUCCAGGAUGAUCACGGUGAAUAUCCUACGCCCACUUGCUUUGAGGUUGGGAAAGCAGUCGCUUGGCCUUCAGCCACUCGAGCCCAGCAGGUGGAGCUAUUUGCCCUCACUGGAGCCUGCCUUCUCACUAAGGGAAAAUCUGCUAAUCUUUGUACAGAUAGCAGGCCAAGAAUAAAAUAAAGGAGAAAGCAGCACACCAUUCUCACCGGUCAAGUGGUCGAACCCAACAUCCAAGACCCAGCGAGCAGCCAAGAUCAGUGCAACCUCCCGACCUCUGGCUCUGACUCCAACAGGGUGAGCACAAAGCCCUCGCACAUGGAGCCUUUUACAUUGUAGAUGAUGGAGCAGCUUGUAUCCUCCAUAAAUUCCAUGCGCAUCUGCAUGCACUGUCCCUUAGAGCUGGUUCUGCCCAGAACCUUGGUGACCCUGGCCAGCUUGAUAGGCUGCACGUGGCUGGUGUCCAUGAUGGCAGUGCGGUGGCAGUUGGGUUAAGAUAACACUUACGUUUGCUGGUUUAUUAAAAAGGGUAUUUUUAAGGAUACAAAUCAACAGCGAGAUGAAGAGACGCAUAAGGUGAGGUCUGGAAGGGUCCUAAGCACAGGAGCUUCUGUCCUCAUGGAGUUAGGGUGCAACAUCCUCCCAGCCUGUGGAUGAGUUCUUCUUCACCUUUCUCUCAGCCUUCACAUGUUCAGCUCUCUGGAUGCCCCCCAAACCCUGCCCUGUGGGCCUUCUAUACUUUAUUGGUUGUCUAUGAUAGAAGCAUGGACAACUGUGUCAAAACAUGAUUGAAUUAAAAAAAAAAAGUCUGAUCUAAACCUAGCAAGACAUCUCCACGUCCUUCCUCCAGAGUAUGGGGAAGGGCCCUUUCUGGAAUGAGGAUCUUUUGAUCCACAAUCAGAUUAGAGUCCUGCCUUGGGCAAAAGAAAGAGAAGGGCAGAGAUAUUCUGUCUCCUGAGACCCAAAGCACCCAACAUUAUAACAAAAGACUGUAACAAUGGUUCUUAGAACUAUGACCUAGGAACUGUGGACAAAGAACUAUGACCUAGGAACUGUGGACAACAUCUCUAUAUCAGGACACCACAGAUGGAAAAGACUGUGACAAGUACAGGUUUCUGAUGAUUUUAAGAUCAUACCAUUGGGCUGGGUAAGAAUUUCUAGAACUCUAAGGGAAAAACUAGACUCAUCAAAUUACUAACCCAAUAUCAAGCAGGAUAAAAAUUAAUCACAUGAGACUAAAUGGACUGACGAAUUAUGGGUUUCUAUGUCUUUUUAAAAUUCAAAAAUAUUGCUGGUUCUUUCGUUUUUCAGAUUUAAGGAAACAUUUUCUUUUAGGCUAUCUAUAGCUUAAGGCAAUUUGGUAACUUAUACCUUUGUGAACAAAAAUGGAGACAUUUGCUUUUUUCUCCCUACCUGAUCCUUCCAGAAUUUAGAAGCUACUCAUGAGGAUUCUUAUUUUUAUGACAAAAUAAUUAUUUACAUAUGUUCAAUAGAAUCUGCUGUUGGCUGGGCAUCUCAGUCUCCCAAAAGUGAGGGAUUAAUCCCAACACUUUGGGAGGCUGAGAUGGGAGGGAAGAUCACUUGAGGCUAGAAGGUUAAGGCUCUAGGGAGCUAUUAUUGCACCACUGUGCUCCAGCCUGGGCAACAGAGUGAGGCCCUGACAGAAGGAGAGGAAGAAAGAAGAAAGGAGAGGAAGAAGGAGGAGGAGAAUCUUCCCUCUUUAUAACAGGACACAAUUGGAAAUAUUGGAUAUAUUAUGACUGGGAUAUCGAAAUUGAGACUGUAGAUACAGACUUUGCCUGCAGUACUUACAGACACAUUCUGUCUACACUGGCUUCCUAGCAUUGAAAGAUUUUUAAAAGUUCAUUCUGAGAUUCCUGAUCUAAAGUUCCAGCCAAGCAAACUUCAAAAGAGCCUAUGUGGUUGAUUGCUAUUCUCACUGAACUUCUCUAAAUAAGCAGAGCAAUUUGAUGAGGCUAAACAUUUUGCAAACAAAUUAGUCUUACUCUGAUUAUCUCUGGUAGAAAUGAGGGGCAACUGUAAAGAGAAAAUGUAUGUUUCAGAAGAAAGAACAUUAUAGUACACUUGUUAUUAGAUUGUAGCCUUGUUUGUUGUUCUAGAGCUUUUGUUAUCUACCUGCAGAAUGGACUGGACCCUGAAUUCUUCUUGUUUCCUCCAAUACAUGUUGACAACUCUC